AGACCGUUCUCUUUCGAGGCCGGUCAUCGGAAUGGGUACAAUUUAAACCCUUUAACGAGUAUCUAUGAGAGGGCAAGUCUGGUGCCAGCAGCCGCGGUAAUUCCAGCUCUCAAAGUGCAUAGAAUUAUUGCUGCGGUUAAAAAGCUCGUAGUUGGAUCUGUGCCAUAGGACGGGGUCUUUCCUAACGGAUUUGUACUUCGUUCCUAGGCUUUUCAGUCGGUUUUCCCGUAAUUGCAUUCAUUUGUCGUUGCGGGUGGCUGACGAGUUUACUUUGAGAAAAUCAGAGUGCUCAAUACAGGCGUCUAGCUUGAAUGAUUGUGCAUGGAAUAAUAGAAAAGGAUUUCGGUCCUCUUUUAUUGGUUUUGUGGACUGAGAUAAUGGUUAACAGGGACAAACGGGGGCAUUCGUAUCGCUGCGUGAGAGGUGAAAUUCUUGGACCGUAGCGAGACGCCCUACUGCGAAAGCAUUUGCCAAGAAUGUCUUCAUUAAUCAAGAACGAAAGUCAGAGGUUCGAAGGCGAUCAGAUACCGCCCUAGUUCUGACCGUAAACGAUGCCAACUAGCGAUCUGCCGGUGGAUUUUUAGCCCUGGUAGGUAGCUUCCCGGAAACGAAAGUCUUCCGGUUCCGGGGGAAGUAUGGUUGCAAAGCUGAAACUUAAAGGAAUUGACGGAAGGGCACCACCAGGAGUGGAGCCUGCGGCUUAAUUUGACCCAACACGGGGAAACCCACCCGGCCCGGACACCGUAAGGAUUGACAGAUUGAUAGCUCUUUCAUGAUUCGGUGGUUGGUGGUGCAUGGCCGUUCUUAGUUCGUGGAUCGAUUUGUCUGGUUUAUUCCGAUAACGAGCGAGACUCUAGCCUACUAAAUAGUAACGAGAUUGCCAUUGUCUUAGUUGCUUCUUAGAGGGACUUUCGGUGUUUAGCCGCACGAGAUUGAGCAAUAACAGGUCUGUGAUGCCCUUAGAUGUCCGGGGCUGCACGCGCGCUACACUGGCAAAAUCAGCGUGCUGUAUCCAUUCUCGAAAGGGAUUGGUAAACCCAUGAAAAUUUGCCGUGAUUGGGAUCGGAAAUUGCAAUUAUUUUCCGUGAACGAGGAAUUCCAAGUAAGUGCGAGUCAUCAACUCGCUCUGAUUACGUCCCUGCCCUUUGUACACACCGCCCGUCGCUGCCCGGGACUGAGCCAUUUCGAGAAGAUCAGGGACCGAUGAAUUGUGGCCUCUUCGCGGAGGUUCGGUUCGUUGGAAACUGAUUUGAUCGCAGUGGCUUGAACCGGGCAA
Molecule: ribosomal RNA, 1276 nt
Filed under: metagenome
Description: SSU rRNA
Rfam family: Eukaryotic small subunit ribosomal RNA
Source: RNAcentral